Molecule: ribosomal RNA, 947 nt
Filed under: uncultured organism
Description: bacterial SSU rRNA
Rfam family: Bacterial small subunit ribosomal RNA
Source: RNAcentral
GGUAUGACGGUACCCUUUCGAAUAAGAGGUUGCUAACUCUGUGCCAGCAGCAGCGGUAAUACAGAGACCUCGAGCGUUAUCCGGAUUUACUGGGCGUAAAGCGUCUGUAGGGGGUUUGUUAAGUUCCAAGUAAAAUCUUAAGGCUCAACUUUAAGUUCGCUUGGAAAACUAAUAAACUGGAGUCCAGCAGAGGUGCAUGGAACUUGCGGUGUAGGAGUGAAAUCCGUUGAUAUCGCAAGGAACACCAAAGGCGAAGGCAUUGCACUGGGCUGGUACUGACCCUGAGAGACGAAAGCGUGGGGAGCAAAAACGGAUUAGAUACCCGUGGUAGUCCACGCCGUAAACGAUGGAUACUAGAUGUUCGGGGAUUCGACCCCCUGGGUGUCACAGCUAACGCGUUAAGUAUCCCGCCUGGGAAGUACGGCCGCAAGGCUAAAACUCAAAGGAAUAGACGGGGAUCCGCACAAGCGGUGGAGCGUCUGGUUUAAUUUGAUAGUAAGCAAUGGACCUCACCAAGGUUUGACAUCCUAUGACAACCCUGGAAACAGGGCUUCCUUCGGGCAUAGUGACAGGUGCUGCAUGGUCGUCGUCAGUUCGUGCCGUGAGGUGUUCCGUUAAGUCGGGAAACGAACGAAACCCUCGUCGCAUGUUACAAAUUUCAUGCGAGACUGCCCGGGUCAACCGGGAGGAAGGCGGGGAUGACGUCAGAUCAGCAUGGCCCUUAUACCUUGGGCUACACAGGCGCUACAAUGGCCGGUACAAAGGGUUGCAAAACCGCGAGGUGAAGCUAAUCCCAUAAAGCCGGUCCAAGUUCGGAUUGGAGGCUGCAACUCGCCUCCAUGAAGUUGGAAUCGCUAGUAAUCGUGGAUCAGCCAUACCACGGUGAAUACGUUCCCGGAUCUUGUACUCACCGCCCGUCACACCAAGAGAGUUGUAGCUCCUGAAGC